UCCGCGGGCCGUGACUGGCGCGCUGGGAUGGGACGGACCAUCGGGGAGCGGCCCGAGCGGUAAAGAGUGCCGUGCGCCUGGGCCGAACGU
This 90-nucleotide non-coding RNA is filed under the name Streptomyces yokosukanensis. Its description in RNAcentral is "ZTP sequence". It matches the Rfam family "ZMP/ZTP riboswitch aptamer (pfl RNA motif)". From Rfam's summary of the family: Previously known as pfl RNA. ZMP is also known as AICAR. Lineage: Bacteria; Bacillati; Actinomycetota; Actinomycetes; Kitasatosporales; Streptomycetaceae. The record is from Rfam by way of RNAcentral.